CGCAUCGCCGACUCGAAGGAAAAGCCGGCCACCCACCCUGUCGCCGCAACGAGGGCCAGGCCCUCAAUUGACAACUGAAGAAUAUGCUCUCUUUUAUCCCAUUUUUGGACGCGUGACCCCGUCGCCGGAGAUAGUUGCCUUCGCGGAUUAUGUAUUUGGGGUUCGACGAGAUGCCAAAAAUAACGACAAUAAGAAUGCAACUCGCAACAAAGCGGCGUCCAGCGAGCAAGGGGACAGCGGCGAACUAUUGCGGCCGAAAGGGGCAAAUAUACAUGCCAAUAUUGGUUUCGAACAAUAUUGGCCAGGGGGAGAUUGGGUGUACAGGAAGGCGGAGUUAGAACGCUGCAACACCACCGAGUACUGCGGUAUAUUCAGCAAGUAA
Cydia splendana is the source of this 382-nucleotide long non-coding RNA. RefSeq lists it as uncharacterized. The record is from RefSeq and is a predicted model, not a curated record. The transcript is spliced from 3 exons. Lineage: Eukaryota; Metazoa; Arthropoda; Insecta; Lepidoptera; Tortricidae.